AGUGUUGGCUAAGAUGCAGAAAUCGCUCACACAAUGAUAAGCCAAAGAAGAUCCACCUGUACUUGGUAUGUUGGAAGAAGCUUCGUUGGAGUCUUACAGACCAGUAUGGUGAUGUGGAUACCAAUUACUAGUCCGUCAGUUUACCAGCUGGAUGGCCUCAGUCGAGUUACCUAACCUCUCUCUCGUGUUCAAUUUCAGAAUCUUCAGACUUGUAAUAAAACGUACAUCACCAAGCUUGAAGGUUCAUGGUAGUUUAAAUGAGUUCUGGAGAUCAGAAGUCCAGAAUGGAUCUCACUGGGCCAAAAUCAGGAUGUCGGCAGGUCUGCAUUCCUUCUGGAAGCUUUAGAGGUAAGUACAGUUGUUUGCCUUUUCCAUCUUCUAGAGGCUGCCCACAUUCUUUGUCUGCGACCCUGUCCUUUCCACAAUUACAUCAUUCCAACGAUAUAAACAAUAUAAAAUCAAAAUAUUUAAGAAGAGUAACAAAGAGGUUGGGAGGAGGUAAAUAAUGUUCUAAGGUCUUCUGUACA
Molecule: long non-coding RNA, 527 nt
Filed under: Mustela putorius furo (domestic ferret)
Lineage: Eukaryota; Metazoa; Chordata; Mammalia; Carnivora; Mustelidae
Description: lncRNA (ENSMPUG00000025218.1)
Source: RNAcentral